UACAGAGGGGGCAAGCGUUAUUCGGAAUUACUGGGCGUAAAGGGCGCGUAGGCGGCCCGCUAAGUCGAACGUGAAAUCCCCGGGCUCAACCCGGGAACUGCGUCCGAUACUGGCAGGCUUGAAUCCGGGAGAGGGAUGCGGAAUUCCAGGUGUAGCGGUGAAAUGCGUAGAUAUCUGGAGGAACACCGGUGGCGAAGGCGGCAUCCUGGACCGGCAUUGACGCUGAGGCGCGAAAGCCAGGGGAGCAAACGGG
Molecule: ribosomal RNA, 253 nt
Filed under: uncultured bacterium
Lineage: Bacteria
Description: partial 16S ribosomal RNA
Rfam family: Bacterial small subunit ribosomal RNA
Source: RNAcentral